GACGAACGCUGGCGGCGUGCCUAAUACAUGCAAGUCGAACGAAGUGGCGAACGGGUGAGUAACGCGUAAUCAACCUGCCCUUCAGAGGGGGACAACAGUUGGAAACGACUGCUAAUACCGCAUACUGAAGGAGGGGAUUGCGUCUGAUUAGCUAGUUGGAGGGGUAACGGCCGACCAAGGCGAGGAUCAGUAGCCGGUCUGAGAGGGUGAACUGCCCCAUUUGGACUGGGACACGGCCCAGACUCCCACGGGGGGCAGCAGGGGGGAAUCUUCCGCAAUGGACGAAAGUCUGACGGAGCAACGCCGCGUGAGUGAUGACGGCCUUCGGGUUGUAAAGCUCUGUUAAUCGGGACGCGGUACCGGAAUAGAAAGCCACGGCUAACUACGUGCCAGCAGCCGCGGUAAUUC
This 408-nucleotide ribosomal RNA is filed under the name uncultured bacterium. RNAcentral's name for it is "partial 16S ribosomal RNA". It matches the Rfam family "Bacterial small subunit ribosomal RNA", at positions 28 to 526 of the family's 1533-position model. The record is from RNAcentral.